Molecule: long non-coding RNA, 878 nt
Organism: Hemicordylus capensis (graceful crag lizard)
Lineage: Eukaryota; Metazoa; Chordata; Lepidosauria; Squamata; Cordylidae
Exons: 8
Source: RefSeq, a predicted model, not a curated record
CAGCAGUGGGGGGGAAAAGCAAUAGUAAUUCCCACUAAUAUAGGUUUUUUUUAAAGCUUUAAAGCUUUUAGACAUCAGUUCAGUUCUUGAAUCCCAGCAUUUAGUAAGAAGAUUGAAUUUCCCUCCUUGAUUUAUAGUCAGAACACUUACAGCAACGGCUUGAGUUCUGUGAAGUCCUUCCAACAAAAGCAGGUGCGAUUCCAGCAAGUUAUCCUUAAUCACGCUGAGAGCAGACGUUGCUGAAAGAAUACAGAAGGUACUGGAGAGUCCAGGACCCUUCUUUGACCUCAAGUCAGAUGGUUCCUCCAGUCCCAGUUCCCCAGAAUUCCCUAACAGGAAGUGCAACAGAAUCCCCUCCAGCCAGACAUCCGAAUAUUGUGUGAUGCAGCCCCUGUCCCACUCCUCAUCCAAUGUGAGGAGCUGUUGCAGAAGAGUGAGUGAAAAUGGAACGUCUGAGGAGGAGGAGAUUGAGGCGGUCCCCAGAAGCAGGACACGCUGGCUCAGAGUGCGUGGUUGGACGAUAAUGUCUGUACACCCAGCAGUACCAGCUCACCAGUUACUCGUCUGCUCCCUUGCGGCAGCGGUGCAGGCUCCAUGGAGAAGGGGAAAGGUGGCAAAGUGGAUGCUCAGCAUUACAGCCCAGCCUCCAUUUUGUGCUGUGUGUGAUAUCAUCGCUGGAGGGGUGUCUCAGUGCAUGCUGGGUAACGCACAGUUCAAGAGAAAUCUAUUCACAACAUUGAGAUUAUUGUUAUUCCUUCUUAUCCACCCUUCUACAUAAGAGGUUGAAGAAAAUGUCAGUUAAGAAAUGUUGUUAGUUUGUACAUUCCAUUACAAUUAAAAGCAACAUACCUAUCCGAGAGAGAGAGAGAGAGAGAGAG